GGAGGUAGUGACAAUAAAUCACAAUGCGGGACUAUUUAGUUUUGCAAUUGGAUUGAGAACAAUGUACAAGAGUUAUCGAUAAACAAUUGGAGGGCAAGUCUGGUGCCAGCAGCCGCGGUAAUUCCAGCUCCAAUAGCGUAUAUUAACGUUGUUGCAGUUAAAAAGCUCGUAGUUGAAGUGUGGGGUGAAAGGUUUGUUUUGCUUUUGCAAGAUGUUCUGCUCACCCCCUCUCCAAUGUGUUAUUAUGGGUAUUAAUUUACUUGUAAUAGCUAUUGGUCAUUUACUGUGAGAAAAUUAGAGUGUUCAAAGCAGGCAUUUGCUUGAAUAUAUUAGCAUGGAAUAAUAGUAAAAGGCUUUUAUGGUCGAUUUAAUUGGUUUGUUCAUGAAAGCAAGAUUAACAGGGACAGUUGGGGGUAUUCAUAUUCAAUAGUUAGAGGUGAAAUUCUCGGAUUUAUGGAAGAUGAACAAGUGCGAAAGCA
RNAcentral lists this ribosomal RNA (479 nucleotides) under Blastocystis sp. RNAcentral's name for it is "SSU rRNA". It matches the Rfam family "Eukaryotic small subunit ribosomal RNA", at positions 460 to 953 of the family's 1831-position model. The record is from RNAcentral. Lineage: Eukaryota; Bigyra; Opalinata; Blastocystidae.